AGAACACCACAAAUCCCUUUCGUCCCUCCCACCCAUGCACAUACACAGUCCUUUAACCCUUGGAUAACAGCCCAGCUCCGGCCUCAAGCAGACAUGGACUUGGGCCUGCAGACACCGGGCUUUAACCUCCACAACAGACGCGCAAAGAUUCGCAGGCUUGGCUCCAGCCAGUGGGCAUCAGCUUCCAGACUUCCAAUUCAUCAUUGGGCCUCGAUCCUUGGCACCUAAGUAGAUCUAAAGCCGAUGAUAAAUGAAAGGGUUUUUAUACACAGACGUCACCGAAAUUGACUGACCCCUGGCUAUUCGUCCUUUCAGAGAAGACCUGACGAGGAGCACAGUAGUUCUUCCCACAUGGGCAGAGAGAACUAUCGGCUGGUUAUUUCCGACACUGUGGCAGGACAAAGAACUUCACCUAGACCGAGGAACCAUGAUCAAUUGAUGCCUUGGAUGGACCCAGGAUAAUUUCACGAGUUGGAAUCCAGAGGUCCCCUGGGAAUAAUGGCAAAUGAGACCCCCGAGGACGGCAUCAAUCAGGUGAUGACUAAAAUCGUGAGCCCUAAAAUCUUUGUGGAAAUCCUUGCAACUUACUAUGUAGUAUUUAGUGUGAUUUACUUGUGCUUUCUGUUUUAUGAUAAUAAAUUAGGCUUAAGUUACUUAUAUGCUUACUACCACGUUUCCUGGACACUCGAACUGGUUUGGGUCUCUUGGGUCUGAUCAACCCAGACCGUUACAAAGAUUGAAGGCUUCUGUUGCUUGUAAGAAAACAUCACAAUGUCUUUUUUAAGCCUUUAAAGGAAAAUUUGAUUAUGUUGAGCAAAAUGAGAGAUAUAGAUAUUUAACAGUAAAAUAAAACUGCGCCAAAGACAUCUUGUGUUUCGAUGUACGAUCAGGAGCCACUUUAUUAGGUGUAGCUAUAUACCUGCUUGUUAAUGCAAAUAUAUACAGUAAUCAGCCAAUCAUGUGGCAACAUCUCAAUGUAUAAAAGAAUCCAGGCAUAUUCAAAGGAUUCAGUUGUUGUUUAGACCAAACAUCAGAAUGGGGAAGAAAUGUGAUCAAAUGUGAGUUUGACUAUGGUGUCAAACAGGAUGGUUUGAGUAUCUUAGAAACUGCUGAUCCCCUAGGAUUUUCAUGCAUAGCAAUUUCUAGAGACUCUAGAGAAUGGUGAAAGAAACAAAAAGCAUCUAAUGAGUGGCAAUUCUGUGGGUGAAAACACCUUGUUAAUAAGAGAGGUUUGAGGAGAACGGCCAGACUAGGUCAAACUGACAGGAAGGUGACAGUAACUCAAAUAACCACAUGUUACAAUAGUGGUGUACAGAACAGCAUCUCUGAAUGCACAGUACAUCAAACUUUGGUCAAACUUCUUAACUUUCUUAAUCUGUGGUUAAGAAGGCGUACAGUCUAUUGGCCUGUAGGACCUUAGGACCCUGGUCAGACCCCACUUGGAGUACUGUGCUCAGUUCUGGUCACCUCACUACAGGAAGGAUGUGGAAGCCAUGGAAAGGGUGCAGAGGAGAUUUACAAGGAUGAUGCCUGGAUUGAGGAGCAUGCCUUAUGAGAAUAGGUUGAGUGAACUCGGCCUUUUCGCCUUGGAGCAACGGAGGAUGAGAGAUGACCUGAUAGAGGUGUAUAAGAUGAUGAGAGGCAUUGAUCGUGUGGAUAGUCAGAGGCUUUUUCCCAGGGCUGAAAUAACUAACAUGAGAGGGCAUAGUUUUAAUGUGCUCAGAAACAGGUACCGAAGGGAUGUCAGGGGUAAGUUUUUCACAGAGAGUGGUGGGUGCAUAGAUGCACUGCUGGCAGCAGUGGUGGAAGCGGGUACAAUAGGAUCUUUUAAGAGCCUCUUAGAUAGGUACAUGGAGCUUAGAAAAAUAGAGGGCUAUACGGAAGGGAAAUUCUAUGCAGUUUCUAGAGUAAGUUACACGGUUGGCACAACACUGUGGGCCAAAGGGCCUGUAAUGUGCUGUAGAUUUCUAUGUUCUAUGUUCUAUGUUUCCAAGAAGGUUCAUGAAAGUGAUUCCAGGAUUGAAUGGCUUGUCAUAUGAAAAGCAUUUGAUGGCUCUGGGCCUGUAUUCACUGUAAUUCAGAAGAAUGAGAGGUAACCUAAUUGGAACUUAUCAAAGAGUGAAAGGCCUUGAUAGAGUGGAUGUGGAGAGGAUGCUUCCUAUGAUGAGAGUGUCUAAGACCAGAGGACACAGCCUCAGAAUAGAGGGUUGUCCUUUUAGAAUAGAGAUGAAGAAGAAUUUCUUUAGCCAGAGAGUGGUGAAUCUGUAGAAUUCGCUGCUACAGGCAGCUGUGGAGAUCAAGUCUUUAUGUAUAUUUAAGGCAGAGAUUGAUAGAUUUUUGAUUGGUCAGGGCCUGAAAGCAUAGGGGGAAGGGUGGCGGGAGAUUGGGGCUGAUGUUCCAAAUAUCUCUGCUGGGGCCCCUGCAAUUUCUGCACUAACCUCCCACAGGGUCCAAGGGAACACUUUGUCAGGCCCUGGGGAUUUAUCUACCCUAAUUUGCCUCAAGAAGGCAAACACCUCCUCCUCUAAUCUGUAUCAGGUCCAUGACCUUGCUGCUACAUUGCCUCACAUCUAUAGACACUGUGUCCCUCUCCCGAUUAAAUACAGAUGCAAAAAAUCCAUUUACGAUCUCUUCCAUUUUUCAGCUCCAGGCAUAGAUUACCAGUCUUAUCUUCCAGAGGACCAAUUUUGCCCCUUGAUAUCAUUUUGCUCUUAAGAUUCUCCUUCACUUUGUCCACUAGAGAAACCUCGAGUCUUCUUUUAAUCUUCCGGAUUUCCUCUUGCAUUUCUUAUACUCCUCAAGUACCCCAUUUUUUCCUGCCUACCUAUACCUGCUUUACAUCUCCUUCUGUUUCUUAGCCAGGGCCUCAAUAUUUCUCAAAAACCAAGGUUCCUUAAACCUGUUAUCCUUGCCUUUUAUUCUGACAGGGACAUACAAACUCUGUACUCUCAAAAUUUCACUUUUGAAGGCCUCCCACCAAGUACACCUUUGCCAAAAAACAACCAGUCCCAAUUUACACUUGCCAGAUCCUUUCUGAUACCAUCAAAAUCCGCCUUUCUCCAAUUUAGAAUCUCAACCCAAGGACCAGACCUUUCCUUUAUUAUAAUUACUUUGAAACUAAAGGCAUUAUGAUCACAAGGUGCAAAGUGUUCCCUGACACAAACUUCUCCCCGCUUGCUUCUUUUAAAUUUACUCCCCCUCUAGCAAUCCGGUGUUUUAUAGAGACUGUGGUACGCAAAAUGUGCUGACUGCUCCAGUCACUUCUUUUAAAUUUUCUCUCCCACGAUGCAAUUUGGUGUCACCUUGGGACUGUGACAUGUAAAACGUGCUGACUGUCCCAGCUCGCUUCUUUUAAAUUCUACGCAAUCCAGUUUCUUGUCGGGACUAUGACAUGCAAAAUGUACCUAAUUAGGUGCCAAAUAAAGUGGCUACUGAGUGUACAUGUGAGAAAUAAAGCUGAUCUUCAUCUUGUGUUUGUUUUAAAUACUAUCAGGCAGAUGAAAGGCCAGCCAGAACUAUUGUAAAUCUUUCUUGUUCUACUUCAAUAAUUGAGCUUAAAGUUAUGUUACAUAAUACCACUAAAGAAAGGAUUAGAAAUGAUUUUGGUCAUUCAUAUGAAGGCAUUAUUCAUAUUUAAUGAUAAUCUCAUGGAACAGUUUUAACCCGAAAUGAUCUAAGCACAGUAAAAAAACAAAUUAAAGUGAACAGUUUCAUUGCUUUAAACCAUUGCCCUUAUAAUGUUUUUAGUAAGAUUAAGAAUUUUAUGCUGGUUUACACAUGAUUAUCUCUCAAUUUUCUUACAUGGUACACUAUUAUCCUGGUUGAGAGAAGACAGGCAGAAGACUCAUACUCGGCCACAGUUGUGCAAUGCCUUCAGCAUUCCUGUGGGCAAGGAAGGGAGACGGCACACACUAGAUAGACCUCUCUGAGUCAAAGACUAUCACAGUCAGAUCUAUCAACAUCCCAUCAGUGUUCGCCCCGACCACCUCCUCUCUCUGACCCCCUUCCACCAACUGCAAGAUCAGAAGGUAGGCAGGGAGAUGUGGAAAUCACACUGGUGGGAAGUGACGAAGGAGAUUAUAAAGUGAUUCUCAGUCUUCUUUUAUCUUUAUCUUCAGAGUCACAUGGAAACAUGGCAAUUCCAGAGAGAGUUGCAGCAACUUCUCCCUCCGCAAUCGAAGGAGGUGGAUAUGAGGGAGCAAGUUCAAGAGGAGCUUGUAUUCUUGUAUUUUCCUUGUAGUUUAACUUUCCUAUACCUGUUUGUAUUUUAUAUAAUUAAGUAAUUACUAUACUGUGCAAAAGUUUUAAGCACCCUUGAUUUUUUAUUUGGUUUCAGAUGGUAUGGCCUUCACAGAGACUUGAUCUCAACGUCAUCAGUGUUGUCUAGGAUUAUCCAGAGGGACAGCAGCAAGCUAGACAGCCAAAGUCUGCAGAAGAGUAGUGCCAAGUUUUCUAAAAUUCUUGGAACAACCUACCAGCCGAUUUUCUGAUAAAACUGCAUGAUACUGUACCCAAGAGAAUUGAUGCAGUUUUAAAAGCAAAAGUCUAGCUGCGGCAAGAUAGAUCACAACGCACUCCAAUGGGUGAUUGGGUUGGCUCAGCACAUCGUUGGGACUCAACCACUGGACCAGGAGACAACGUACAACCCUUGAUGCCUAUGGCACACUUGUAACAUCAAUAAAGACCGAUCCCAAUCCGGACACUAACUGUUCGAUCUCCUGCCAUCUGGUAGGAGAUGCAGAAACAUCUUAGCCAAGACAGUAAGACUGAAAAACAGCUUAUUCCCGAAGGGUGCUGUGCAGCUGAAUAAUUCUACACCCCACCCCGGUUUCCCAAUGGCCCUUGAGUGUUAUGGACUAUCAAGGUCACUAGUUGCAUGUAAAUAUGAGAUUUUUUUAAAAAAUUAAGCCAUAUUGCAUGCAUUGUAAGCAUCUGACUUGCAUGGACUGGAAUAGCACCACAAUCUUGUUGUCUUGAACAAUGACAAUAAAGUUCUAUGUUUAAGGCUUCGGAUGGAAGUGAUAAAGGGGUAAAGCGGAUUAGUCCAAGUAGAGUGGAAGAUGGGGUGAGUUGUGGGUGGGCCAAGGAUAAUGGGGGUGCAACCAGCUGAAGAUUCUGGGACCUGGAAUAACACCAGGGGUGUUGGAAGAGGUCAACAGGUUAGGCAGCAUCUAUGCAGGGUCAAUGUUUCAGGUUGAAACCCUUUAUCUAGACUGCUGAACCCCUUCUGGCCUUCAUUAAGAUUAGAAGAAGGAUCUCGGCCCUUUGUAGAUGCAGUUGACCCACUGACUUCCUCCAGCAUUUCUGGUGCUGGAGCAAAGGGAGUAUCUGUAAAAAGGACAAAGUUAUGUAGCCAUUAAAUCAACAGCUAUUUAUUCCCCUCCAUAGAUGCUGCCUGACUAACUGAGUUCCUCCAGCAUUUUGUGUGUGUUGAUCAAGAUUUCCAGCAUCUGCAGAAUCCGUUGUGUUUGAAAUUGACAGCUGAGCUCCUUUUUGUGUAAAAUGAGUUCCCAGUAUUAGUGUCAUAGAGCACCACUGCAUGAAAACAGGCCCUUCAGCCCAACUAGUCCAUGCUGAACUCCUAGUCCCAUUGACCUGCACCUGGACCAGAUCCCUCCAGAUCUUUUCCAUCCAUGUACUUAUCCAAACUUCUCUUACAUGCUGAAAUCCAACUGAAUCCAUCACCUUCGCUGGCAGCUCGUUCCAUACUCACACCACUUUUGGAUGAAGGAAAAUGUUAAGUCUGGGGAUAUGUCCAGCAGUCUUCAAUAUACAAAUGAUAGAGAAGAUAGGAGACAGGGAUUGAAGGACAACCAAGCAUUCCUAACAUAAACAGAAAGAAAAAGCAGGUUUACUGUAGAUUGAGAAUUCAGUAUUCAGCCCUACCAUUGCAACAGGCCUAGACAGAAAACGUGUCAUUUCUUUAGCUUACAGAUGUCUACUUUGGUCUAGAAUACAAUUGGCACACUUGCUUUUAUUGUCCAAGGCACAGGCUCAGGAGAUCAUGGUAGAACACUAUAAAAAGCUAUUAAUUAGGCCAUAACUAGAGUAACACACACAGUUCUGACAGGAAGUCAGUAUUGGAAUGGGUGCAGAGAAGGAUCACGGGAAUAUUGUCAGAACAGAAGGAUUAUAACUUGGAGAGAUUAACUGGGUUGUUUUCUUCGGAACAAAGGAGACAGAGAAGAUUUCAUUAAUGCGUGGGAAAUUACAGAAUGUCUUGAUAGGAUCAGAGACCAAGUCCAAGAGCAGAUGGCACAGCCUCCGAACUGAUAGAUGUCCCUUUAGAACAGAUAUAAGGAGUUUCUUUAGCCAGAAGAUUGUGAAUCUGGGGAAUUCAUUGUCAAAAAUGGCAGUGGAGGCCAAGUCACUGGGUAUAUUUAAAGCUGCGGUUGAUAUGUUGAUAGGAUGCCAAAGGGUAUGGGAAAGAGCAGGAGAAUAGGAUUGAGAAGAGUAAUGAAUCAGCCAUGGUGGGGCAGACUCGAUGGGCUGAAUAGCCUAAUUCUGCUCCAAUGGCUUAUGAGUCAAAAGAAAGAAGUCAUUGUCUUGGCAGGGACAAAUCAGGCACUGUGGCACAGUGGUGUAGACGGUAGACAGGUGGGUUCAUUUCCAACUUUGUAUAUUCUGCCUGUGACUGAGUCGGUUUCCUACUAAAGGCAUCGUUAGUCUUGCGAGACCAUGGAUUUGCCCCUGUAAAGUCUUCACUCUCCAGGGUGCAGGCCUGGGCAAGGUUGUAUGGAAGACCAGCAGUUGCCCAUGCUGCAAGUCUCCCCUUCUCCAACGACACCAAUGUUGUCCAAGGGAAGGGCAUUAGGACCCAUACAGCUUGGCACCGGUGUCGUCACACAGCAAUGUGUGAUUAAGUGCCUUGCUCAAGGACACAACACGUUGCUUCGGCUGGGGCUCGAACUCACGACCUUCAGGUCGCUAGUCUAAUGCCUUAACCACUUGGCCACGUGCCCACACGGUUUCCUACUAGUGCUCCAGUUUCACUCCACCUUCCAAAGAUUGGCACAUUGGUAGUUAAAUGGGGCAUUGUAAAUUGUUUCAUCUUUGAAAAGGUUGAGUGAACUAGAGCUUUUCCCUUUGGAGAGAAGAUGAGAAGUGACUAGAUAGAGGUGUCCAAGAGGCAUAGAUUGAGUGGAUAGCGAGAGACUUUCUACCAGGUCAGAAAUGGCUAAGACCAGGGGUCAUAAUUUUACGGUGACUGAAGGAAGGUGUAGGGGGGAUUUCAGAGGUAAAGUUUUCACACAGAGAAUGGUGGGUGCGUGGAACUCCCUGCCAAGGUGAUGGUAGAUGUAUUUAAGAAACUCUCAGAACAGCACAUGGAUUUGUGAUGGUAUUUGGAUUUCUGAUUGUUCAGUUCCAAACCUAAAUGAGGACCUUAAGCCCUAUCCUAUGGGUACCCUCACUAAAGGGAGGUUAUACUGCAACUACCCAAUCUUCAAAGAUUAGUUCACUUCCCUGUUUAAUUUUCAUGGCAAUGUAGCUGCCAAUACCCAGUACUGGAUGGUGGAUCUUCCCUCCCUACUAAGGAGAUACUUCCAGCUAACAAAGUAGUUUAAACACAGUUCAUUUAUUUUCAGUGAUACAUAUUUAAAGUUAAGCAACAUUCUUAAAACACAUUUGAAACUCAGAGGAUUUUUAUCUUAUAAAAGGCUUCCAAUUUACAUACUAUUUUUAAAACACAAAGGGCCUCCAAAACAAGGUACAAUUCCUACAAGUUAAAAUGACAGGCCCAAGGGUAGCAGACGAAGCCAUUGCUCAUUGCAGGCAUUGAAGGCUGAGGAAUGAAUUCUAAUUCACCGUGUUUUAGUCAUUCUUCUUGAACUAUACCUAAAAAACCUGAACUGCACUCUUCAUUUAGGCUGUUUCUUUGCCUCUUGUGUAACCUCACACACACAUGAUAUUUUUAAAACACUUUUUAACACAACUAAUCUAAAAGCUUUUGGAGACAGAUCACAAGUACCCAAAAUUAAUGCGAUGAAGCUGACUCUUUGAGUACAUAAACCUUCCAAUUAUUAAUAGAUCAGCUAUUUGAUGUGCUAAGUGAUAAUAUCA
This is a long non-coding RNA of Mobula hypostoma (lesser devil ray), 8061 nucleotides long. RefSeq lists it as uncharacterized. NCBI's taxonomy places the organism in Eukaryota, Metazoa, Chordata, Chondrichthyes, Myliobatiformes, Myliobatidae. The record is from RefSeq and is a predicted model, not a curated record. The transcript is spliced from 4 exons.